This is a long non-coding RNA of Cyprinus carpio carpio, 717 nucleotides long. NCBI's taxonomy places the organism in Eukaryota, Metazoa, Chordata, Actinopteri, Cypriniformes, Cyprinidae. The record is from Ensembl.
CUGUACGAAUAUCGUACAUCCGAUUGCUUAGAAAAGUCAUAGCACACCUCUCCUCAAUAAGCCGCACGAUUUGACACCUCAUUCAUGGGUCUACGACAAACAGUGCAGGAGGAGUAGCGCGCCAAAAGUUUUUCAGGGCGAAUAGUAAUAGUAACACUAGAAUGUACAUUUCCUGAAGAAAAUGUGAGUGGUGCUUGCAGUGGCAAAACUCGGCGCUCGGUUGCUAAGGUGUUUUUUAGGCGGUUGUGAGAGCGGUUGCUAGGGUACCCAGGGUGGUUGCUAGGGUGUUGCUAUGUGGUUGCUAGGUUACUUGGGGUGGUUGCUAAGGUGUUGCUAUGCGGUUGCUAGGGUGUUCUGGGUGGUUGCUAGGUGGUUGCUAGGCAGUUGCUAAGGUACUUGGGGUGGUUGCUAAGGUGUUGCUAUGCGGUUGCUAGGGUGUUCUGGGUGGUUGCUAGGCAGUUGCUAAGGUACUUGGGGUGGUUGCUAAGGUGUUGCUAUGCGGUUGCUAGGGUGUUCUGGGUGGUUGCUAGGCAGUUGCUAAGGUACUUGGGGUGGUUGCUAAGGUGUUGCUAGGUGGUUGCUAGGUUAUUUGGGGUGGUUGCUAAGAUGUUGCUAGGCGGUUGCUAGGGUGCUCUGGGUGGUUGCUAGGUGGUUGCUAUGAUAACUGGGGUAGUUGCUAUGCUGUUACUAGGUGGUUGGUAGUUGUCACAGAUGGUC